CUUCGGCAAUGGACGGAAGUCUGACCGAGCAACGCCGCGUGAGUGAAGAAGGUUUUCGGAUCGUAAAGCUCUGUUGUAAGAGAAGAACGAGUGUGAGAGUGGAAAGUUCACACUGUGACGGUAUCUUACCAGAAAGGGACGGCUAACUACGUGCCAGCAGCCGCGGUAAUACGUAGGUCCCGAGCGUUGUCCGGAUUUAUUGGGCGUAAAGCGAGCGCAGGCGGUUAGAUAAGUCUGAAGUUAAAGGCUGUGGCUUAACCAUAGUACGCUUUGGAAACUGUUUAACUUGAGUGCAAGAGGGGAGAGUGGAAUUCCAUGUGUAGCGGUGAAAUGCGUAGAUAUAUGGAGGAACACCGGUGGCGAAAGCGGCUCUCUGGCUUGUAACUGACGCUGAGGCUCGAAAGCGUGGGGAGCAAACAGGAUUAGAUACCCUGGUAGUCCACGCCGUAAACGAUGAGUGCUAGGUGUUAGACCCUUUCCGGGGUUUAGUGCCGCAGCUAACGCA
RNAcentral lists this ribosomal RNA (505 nucleotides) under uncultured Streptococcus sp. Its description in RNAcentral is "bacterial SSU rRNA". It matches the Rfam family "Bacterial small subunit ribosomal RNA", at positions 363 to 859 of the family's 1533-position model. Lineage: Bacteria; Bacillati; Bacillota; Bacilli; Lactobacillales; Streptococcaceae. The record is from RNAcentral.